Long non-coding RNA from Phacochoerus africanus (Common warthog), 811 nucleotides. RefSeq lists it as uncharacterized. The transcript is spliced from 4 exons. Lineage: Eukaryota; Metazoa; Chordata; Mammalia; Artiodactyla; Suidae. The record is from RefSeq and is a predicted model, not a curated record.
GUCACGACUCAGCCCACGUAGACGUCCACGGGGAACGUAGCGUUGCAGCCCUCACUGAGGUUUGACGUCAAGAAAGAAACUGUGAGGCCGCUUCCCCAGCUGACCCUAGGCCAGCCUGAGCAAUUUGUCUGGACCACCACAAGCCUGAGAAUAGACAGAACAUCAGCUCCCUGCCAGCACAGCGCAGCAUGGGGCUUCCCUGCAUCGGAAUAGAUGAGCCAGGGUCCAGAGGACUUAUUAACUUUCAAAAAGGAUUUUGGCCUUCUGUUGGAGAGGACCUUGCUUGCAGGCACAUCCCAGGGUAGAUUUUAGCAUCCUACUCAAGUUCUUAUUCAGAAUUACCCCUUGGACUCGACCCAGCCGUGCCUGCAUUUACAGAGCCUCCCCUGCUCCUAGCCCAGACCUCGCUGGGAUUGAGGACGACAAUGUCAUCACCAGUUGUCUGCUUUCCGGAGCCAGCAGCUUGCUCCACCGGGAUCCUGCUAUAUUCAACCCUGCCUGGUAAACUAGUAAACUUCUCACGCCUGGUGUCCGCUAUAGCAGAGAGUGAGGUACCUUAGCACGGGUAUCUUACACGGCCCUCCUCCAGGCAGUGAACUAUGGCUCGGAGCCCUUGUUAGAGACCCAUUGAACAUUUUCAUCCAUCAGGUGUUCACCAGGUACCCAGCCAGUGAGUCCCUUUGCGCCUGCUCUGAGCAGCAGCCUAGUGUUCGGGUGUCCCCAUCAACCCCGGAGGGACUGGGUCUACUACAUCCAGGAAAGCUAAGUGGCCCCGGUUUUAUCUUUCCAAUUCUUUUGAGUAGGAGACAUU